Molecule: unclassified non-coding RNA, 440 nt
Filed under: Hevea brasiliensis (rubber tree)
Lineage: Eukaryota; Viridiplantae; Streptophyta; Magnoliopsida; Malpighiales; Euphorbiaceae
Source: RNAcentral
CUCUUCUCAAUUCCCAAACCCUAAACCCAAACCCGAACACUAGAGCCAAAUCCCGACGCCGAUGGCAUAUCACGCCGGAGACAACGACGGCGACGGCCAAAACCGGCGGUUCUAUAAUCCAUACCAAGAUCUUCAAGUUCCAAUUCAGAAACUCUACAAACUCCCAACUUCCCCCGAAUUUCUCUUCAAAGAGGAAUCUCUCGCACAGCGCCGAUCGUGGGGAGAAAACCUAACGUUCUACACUGGCAUCGGUUAUCUCUCCGGUUCCGUCGUCGGGGCAGGUAAAGGAUUUAUUCAAGGCGUUAAAGCUUCUGAGCCUGGGGACACGUUGAAGCUCCGGAUUAACAGAAUAUUAAACGGGUCGGGUCACAAUGGUAGGAAGUUCGGGAAUCGAUUCGGAGUUAUUGGACUGAUGUAUGCGGGUUUAGAGAGUGGGAUGG